AUUGAACGCUGGCGGCAUGCUCUACACAUGCAAGUCGAACGGUAACAGGCCGCAAGGUGCUGACGAGUGGCGAACGGGUGAGUAAUGCAUCGGAACGUGCCCAGUCGUGGGGGAUAACUACUCGAAAGAGUAGCUAAUACCGCAUACGAUCUAUGGAUGAAAGCGGGGGACCGUAAGGCCUCGCGCGAUUGGAGCGGCCGAUGUCAGAUUAGGUAGUUGGUGGGGUAAAGGCUCACCAAGCCAACGAUCUGUAGCUGGUCUGAGAGGACGACCAGCCACACUGGGACUGAGACACGGCCCAGACUCCUACGGGAGGCAGCAGUGGGGAAUUUUGGACAAUGGGCGCAAGCCUGAUCCAGCAAUGCCGCGUGCAGGAAGAAGGCCUUCGGGUUGUAAACUGCUUUUGUACGGAACGAAACGGCUCUGGUUAAGACCCGGGGCUAAUGACGGUACCGUAAGAAUAAGCACCGGCUAACUACGU
This 481-nucleotide ribosomal RNA is filed under the name uncultured bacterium. Its description in RNAcentral is "partial 16S ribosomal RNA". It matches the Rfam family "Bacterial small subunit ribosomal RNA", at positions 30 to 506 of the family's 1533-position model. The record is from RNAcentral.